GAACCAGGAAGUGGCGGUUAAAAUGGCUGCGUAGGACCAGGUCGAGAGUUUAACUGAGGAGGCAACAUGUCCCAUCUGCCUGGAUUUCUUCACCGAUCCGGUGUCACUGGAGUGUGGGCACAACUUCUGCCGCUCCUGUAUCACCCAGAGUUGGGACAAGGAGAGGAGAAACUCCUGCCAGGAAUGUAGAGAGGAGUUUAUAGACUGCAGCCUCAGGGUGAAUCGGGCCUUGGCGAGACUUUCUGAGAAAGCUCGAACACUGAGCCUGAAUCGGACAGAGAAGGAAAGUAAACUUCAGUGCGAGGAAAAUCAGGAAGAACUGAAGCUGUUUUGUGAAACGGACAAGAAGCUGAUCUGUGUGAUUUGUCGAGAUGCGCGGGAACACAGUGAUCACCGCUUCAUGCCGGUUAAAGAAGCUGUUCAAAUAUACAAGGAUCAGGUGAAAUCUUCCUUCGAAUCUCUCACAAAAAUAAAUCAGAGAUCCAGCAAAUGGAGCAGCAACAGAAACAGAAGAUUUUUGGAGUUCUGAAAUAGUCACACAACCUUCAGUCCAAGACCAUAUCUUACUUUGCAGAACAGCAC
Long non-coding RNA from Amblyraja radiata (thorny skate), 582 nucleotides. RefSeq lists it as uncharacterized. The record is from RefSeq and is a predicted model, not a curated record. The transcript has 3 exons. NCBI's taxonomy places the organism in Eukaryota, Metazoa, Chordata, Chondrichthyes, Rajiformes, Rajidae.